GCCGGGACUAGAGUUGUAUCCUGACAUGGCCCUUGUCCUGGUGUGUUAGGGUUCUUAGAGAGGAUCUACUGGUCUUGAUUCACUGAUAGAGGCAGUUGGUGGCCCUGUUAGUGCCCAGAUCAGAAACAUGC
Small nucleolar RNA from Jaculus jaculus (lesser Egyptian jerboa), 131 nucleotides. The record is from Ensembl. NCBI's taxonomy places the organism in Eukaryota, Metazoa, Chordata, Mammalia, Rodentia, Dipodidae.